Molecule: long non-coding RNA, 862 nt
Organism: Pseudopipra pipra
Lineage: Eukaryota; Metazoa; Chordata; Aves; Passeriformes; Pipridae
Exons: 2
Source: RefSeq, a predicted model, not a curated record
CGGCAGCAGAGACACAAUUCCUGCCCUCAGAACCAGGGAGUUCGCACUCCCGAAAGGAGGAAAGACUGGAAACUCCGUUCCUGUUACACUGACAGCGAUCUAUUAGUUAAGGAAAUCAAGUUUUUACUCACUACAGGAGGGGAAAGAGAUACUUAAGCUUUUAUGUCAGUUCAUUCUCUAUUAAUGAUAAACAUUGGGAGCCCGGCAGGAAUAGAUCAUCUUGCAUUUAUUGCUGCGAGUAUAUUAAGAACUAACAGCGGCAGAGUGGUGAUUAAACACCAAAUGCCUGUGCCCACCCCGCUGCCAGAGCACUUCAGGGCACACCUGGGCCGGGCAGGAGCACGAACCCACAGCAGGUCCUGCCAGGGACGCGGGGCAGCCCAGGGGAGUCGGGCCCUGCCCCAGAACAUGCAGGACGAUGCCAACAGAAAGCUGGGCACCCUGCAGCUCCUCCCUGAUCCCGGGGGAAGCUCACCGGCAUCCCAGGGGAUCAGCCUCACUGAAAAAGGCAAUCACUUCCUAUUGUAUUCCUGCUACUGGGGCUGCAAUUCAACUCUACCUUUUCCACUCUCCCAUCACUGCAGGGUUUUUUCCUACUGGUUUCUCUUACUGGUUAUUACCUCAACUUCAGGCUCCCACAUUCCAAACAGUUGAUUUAUGCUGUCACAUUCUGUUUGCAUUAUGUUUUCUCUUUCCUCCCUUUUUCAAGGCUAGCAGAUUUAUUAAACACCAGUGCCCUAAUACAUGCCAGCCUUGUUAUCCUUUAGGAAAGCCUCAGGGCAUAUUCGGUCUAUUAACCACCGUGGAGCAAAGCAGGUCAUUUAUAUUACUGUAAAUAAAACACAGAUUACCUUAAUGAGAA